RNAcentral lists this ribosomal RNA (1051 nucleotides) under Sphingobacterium sp. Its description in RNAcentral is "bacterial SSU rRNA". It matches the Rfam family "Bacterial small subunit ribosomal RNA", at positions 48 to 1101 of the family's 1533-position model. Lineage: Bacteria; Pseudomonadati; Bacteroidota; Sphingobacteriia; Sphingobacteriales; Sphingobacteriaceae. The record is from RNAcentral.
AUGAUCCUGGCUCAGGAAAUCGUAACUAGGUAACCACAAGAGUUUUUUCCCCCCCUCGGGUGCGUAACGCGUGAGCAACCUACCCAUAUCAGGGGGAUAGCCUCUCGAAAGAGAGAUUAACACCGCAUAACAUCAUUUACCGGCAUCGGAUUAUGAUCAAAUAUUUAUAGGAUAUGGAUGGGCUCGCGUGACAUUAGCUAGUUGGAGGGGUAACGGCCCACCAAGGCUACGAUGUCUAGGGGCUCUGAGAGGAGAAUCCCCCACACUGGUACUGAGACACGGACCAGACUCCUACGGGAGGCAGCAGUAAGGAAUAUUGGUCAAUGGAGGGAACUCUGAACCAGCCAUGCCGCGUGCAGGAUGACUGCCCUAUGGGUUGUAAACUGCUUUUGUCAGGGAAUAAACCUUUCCACGUGUGGGAAGCUGAAUGUACCUGAAGAAUAAGGAUCGGCUAACUCCGUGCCAGCAGCCGCGGUAAUACGGAGGAUCCAAGCGUUAUCCGGAUUUAUUGGGUUUAAAGGGUGCGUAGGCGGUCCUAUAAGUCAGUGGUGAAAGACGGCAGCUUAACUGUCGCAGUGCCUUUGAUACUGUAGGACUUGAAUCUAUUUGAAGUGGGCGGAAUAAGACAAGUAGCGGUGAAAUGCAUAGAUAUGUCUUAGAACUCCGAUUGCGAAGGCAGCUCACUAAGUUAGUAUUGACGCUGAUGCACGAAAGCGUGGGGAUCAAACAGGAUUAGAUACCCUGGUAGUCCACGCCCUAAACGAUGAUAACUCGAUGUUUGCGAUACACAGUAAGCGUCCAAGCGAAAGCGUUAAGUUAUCCACCUGGGGAGUACGGUCGCAAGAUUGAAACUCAAAGGAAUUGACGGGGGCCCGCACAAGCGGAGGAGCAUGUGGUUUAUUUCGAUGAUACGCGAGGAACCUUACCCGGGCUUGAAAGUUAGUGAAUGAUCCAGAGACGGAUCAGUCCUUCGGGACACGAAACUAGUGCUGCAUGGCUGUCGUCAGCUCGUGCCGUGGAGGUGUUGGGUUAAGUCCCGCAACGAGCGCAA